Molecule: ribosomal RNA, 1489 nt
Filed under: Lactiplantibacillus plantarum
Lineage: Bacteria; Bacillati; Bacillota; Bacilli; Lactobacillales; Lactobacillaceae
Description: bacterial SSU rRNA
Rfam family: Bacterial small subunit ribosomal RNA
Source: RNAcentral
GACGAACGCUGGCGGCGUGCCUAAUACAUGCAAGUCGAACGAACUCUGGUAUUGAUUGGUGCUUGCAUCAUGAUUUACAUUUGAGUGAGUGGCGAACUGGUGAGUAACACGUGGGAAACCUGCCCAGAAGCGGGGGAUAACACCUGGAAACAGAUGCUAAUACCGCAUAACAACUUGGACCGCAUGGUCCGAGUUUGAAAGAUGGCUUCGGCUAUCACUUUUGGAUGGUCCCGCGGCGUAUUAGCUAGAUGGUGAGGUAACGGCUCACCAUGGCAAUGAUACGUAGCCGACCUGAGAGGGUAAUCGGCCACAUUGGGACUGAGACACGGCCCAAACUCCUACGGGAGGCAGCAGUAGGGAAUCUUCCACAAUGGACGAAAGUCUGAUGGAGCAACGCCGCGUGAGUGAAGAAGGGUUUCGGCUCGUAAAACUCUGUUGUUAAAGAAGAACAUAUCUGAGAGUAACUGUUCAGGUAUUGACGGUAUUUAACCAGAAAGCCACGGCUAACUACGUGCCAGCAGCCGCGGUAAUACGUAGGUGGCAAGCGUUGUCCGGAUUUAUUGGGCGUAAAGCGAGCGCAGGCGGUUUUUUAAGUCUGAUGUGAAAGCCUUCGGCUCAACCGAAGAAGUGCAUCGGAAACUGGGAAACUUGAGUGCAGAAGAGGACAGUGGAACUCCAUGUGUAGCGGUGAAAUGCGUAGAUAUAUGGAAGAACACCAGUGGCGAAGGCGGCUGUCUGGUCUGUAACUGACGCUGAGGCUCGAAAGUAUGGGUAGCAAACAGGAUUAGAUACCCUGGUAGUCCAUACCGUAAACGAUGAAUGCUAAGUGUUGGAGGGUCUCCGCCCUUCAGUGCUGCAGCUAACGCAUUAAGCAUUCCGCCUGGGGAGUACGGCCGCAAGGCUGAAACUCAAAGGAAUUGACGGGGGCCCGCACAAGCGGUGGAGCAUGUGGUUUAAUUCGAAGCUACGCGAAGAACCUUACCAGGUCUUGACAUACUAUGCAAAUCUAAGAGAUUAGACGUUCCCUUCGGGGACAUGGAUACAGGUGGUGCAUGGUUGUCGUCAGCUCGUGUCGUGAGAUGUUGGGUUAAGUCCCGCAACGAGCGCAACCCUUAUUAUCAGUUGCCAGCAUUAAGUUGGGCACUCUGGUGAGACUGCCGGUGACAAACCGGAGGAAGGUGGGGAUGACGUCAAAUCAUCAUGCCCCUUAUGACCUGGGCUACACACGUGCUACAAUGGAUGGUACAACGAGUUGCGAACUCGCGAGAGUAAGCUAAUCUCUUAAAGCCAUUCUCAGUUCGGAUUGUAGGCUGCAACUCGCCUACAUGAAGUCGGAAUCGCUAGUAAUCGCGGAUCAGCAUGCCGCGGUGAAUACGUUCCCGGGCCUUGUACACACCGCCCGUCACACCAUGAGAGUUUGUAACACCCAAAGUCGGUGGGGUAACCUUUUAGGAACCAGCCGCCUAAGGUGGGACAGAUGAUUAGGGUG